CAAGGUUUCCGUAGGUGACCUGCGGGAGGAUCAUUG
RNAcentral lists this ribosomal RNA (36 nucleotides) under Eucalyptus angophoroides. RNAcentral's name for it is "partial 18S ribosomal RNA". The record is from RNAcentral. Lineage: Eukaryota; Viridiplantae; Streptophyta; Magnoliopsida; Myrtales; Myrtaceae.